This 1614-nucleotide long non-coding RNA is filed under the name Marmota monax (woodchuck). Lineage: Eukaryota; Metazoa; Chordata; Mammalia; Rodentia; Sciuridae. The record is from RNAcentral.
AAUAAAUCCACAUUUUUCAAAAGAAAAAAUUAAGCUAGACUUUACAGAAUCUCUGAAAACAAACCCAGAAAAUGCCAUUUUGAGUAGAAAUGUUAUUCUUUUGUUUGCUUCUCCUAAUAUUGUAGAUUCUUUUCCCAACUUCUUAACUUUUUAAAAUAACAUUGUAUAAGUCACAUGGAAAGAUGUAAAGAAGAUAGUUAUGUAGCCCAGGGAAUUCCCAAUAUGAGGAGAGUGGCAAGACUUAUUGCAGUAGCAACAAGAGCUGGAUGAACCCACCAUUUUAGGGAGUCCACUCCUUUCACUUUUCAGGGGAAAAUAAAAUGCACAGGUGAUAUAGAAUCUAAAUUCCAGGCUUUUGGGAAACAUCUCACAUCCAAACCACAAGAAUUUCUUACAAAAAAAAAAAAAAAAAAUAGCAGGAAGACUAUUUGGAAUAAUGCUCAUGGGCACAAUUGUUUAUUUAUUAAGGUUUAUUGAACAGGAUAUCUUUAUUUUUAAUAUUUUUUAGUUGUCAAUGAAUCUUUAUUUAUUUAUAUGUGGUGCUGAGAAUUGAACCCUGUGCCUCACACAUGCCAGGCAAGUGCUCUACCACUAGGCCACGUCCCCAGCCCUGAAUAGGAGAUCUUGAUCAGCUCAUUGAAAAUUUCAUCUCUGGGAGAUCAAGAGGAGAGGACUGUCCUGGGCCCAGAGAUACACGGUGAGCCACCCCAUGCUGGGUUUCCUUAUUCACCAAAGCAUGGCUCCACAGCCCAACAUCAGCAUACAUAUAGGCUUAAGGCUGCCACCACCACAAAACUAUGAUAUCACCAAUAUCACUGCUUGUAUCAAGGGACAAUAAUAAGGACCUGGUAAAAUCAUCAAGGUCCCUGGCUGCACCAGAGGUUUCUCUACUAGGGGUGCAACAGUUAUCUUGUUGCUGAGGUAACAGGGAGUCUUGCAUGGGGUUGCCUAUCUCUUGUUUCUCCUACUAACAGCCAGCUUCUUAUGAUUACCCUCUCACUAGUCAUAUAAUCUAAUGCCUCCAUAUUCUCACAUCCUACCUCCUAAACAUCUCAGCCAACUCCCCAGGACCCCUAUCUACCUUUAGAAACUGUAUACAAUUACGCAAACUUAUUGACUAUAAGGUAGAAGAUAACCGAACUCAUCAUUUCUGAUUAUAAUGACAAAACUGUAAAUGUAAAAAUAGAAGCUAACUCAUAUAUGGCUGCAUGUUGGGUACAUUGAGUGCUGUAAUAUUGAUCUCUCCCUUAAAAGUGAGGUAUUAGUAACCUAUAGGGACACUAUAAGACAAUAGGACAGAAGCUGUAAUACCUCGGAUCUACACUGCAAAAGAGGAAGGCUCAUAGACAUCAUAAAAAAACAAAGGAGGAAAGUGCCCCAAACAAGCCAAGAUAUACAACAAUAGAAUACAUAAUAGUGAAGUAGGUUAAAUGUCAGAGAAGGAGUUGAGAAUAUACAUAAGUAAAAUGAUAUGGGAAUUAAAGAACAACCUAAGUGAGCAGAUACAGGCAAAAAUCGAUCACUCCAACAAAAAGAGAACAAAUACAAGUUGUAAGAGAUUACUUCAAGAAAGAGAUAAGAGAUACUGAAAAAAAAAAUAGGAAUCUUCAAAAU